Molecule: ribosomal RNA, 460 nt
Filed under: uncultured bacterium
Lineage: Bacteria
Description: partial 16S ribosomal RNA
Rfam family: Bacterial small subunit ribosomal RNA
Source: RNAcentral
CCUACGGGAGGCAGCAGUGAGGAAUAUUGGUCAAUGGGCGCGAGCCUGAACCAGCGAAGUAGCGUGAAGGAUGACUGCCCUACGGGUGGUAAACUUCUUUUAUAAAGGAAUAAAGUGAGGCACGUGUGCCUUUUUGUAUGUCCUUUAUGAAUAAGGCUCGGCUAACUCGGUGCCAGCAGACGCGGUAAUACGGAGGAUCCGAGCGUUAUCCGGAUUUAUUGGGUUUCAAGGGAGCGUAGAUGGGUUGUUAAGUCAGUUGUGAAAGUUUGCGGCCCAACCGUAAAAUUGCAAUUGAUACUGUCAGCCUUGAGUACAGUUGAGGUAGGCGGAAUUCGUGGUGUAGCGGUGAAAUGCUUAGAUAUCACGAAGAACUCCGAUUGCGAAGGCAGCUUACUAAACUGCCACUGACAUUGAGGCUCGAAAGUGUGGGUAUCAAACAGGAUUAGAUACCCGAGUAGUC